This 460-nucleotide ribosomal RNA is filed under the name uncultured bacterium. RNAcentral's name for it is "partial 16S ribosomal RNA". It matches the Rfam family "Bacterial small subunit ribosomal RNA", at positions 338 to 795 of the family's 1533-position model. The record is from RNAcentral.
CCUACGGGGGACAGCAGUGAGGAAUAUUGGUCAAUGGACGAGAGUCUGAACCAGCCAAGUAGCGUGAAGGAUGACUGCCCUAUGGGUUGUAAACUUCUUUUAUAUGGGAAUAAACUGUUCCACGUGUGGGAUUUUGUAUGUACCAUAUGAAUAAGGAUCGGCUAACUCCGUGCCAGCAGCCGCGGUAAUACGGAGGAUCCGAGCUUUAUCCGGAUUGAUUGGGUUUAAAGGGAGCGUAGGUGGAUUGUUAAGGCAGUUGUGAAAGUUUGCGGCUCAACCGUAAAAUUGCAGUUGAAACUGGCAGUCUUGAGUACAGUAGAGGUGGGCGGAAUUCGUGGUGUAGCGGUGAAAUGCUUAGAUAUCACGAAGAACUCCGAUUGCGAAGGCAGCUCACUGGACUGCAACUGACACUGAGGCUCGAAAGUGUGGGUAUCAAACAGGAUUAGAUACCCCAGUAGUC